CAUCACAGGCAGAGUUCUAGUU
Molecule: microRNA, 22 nt
Filed under: Apis mellifera (honey bee)
Lineage: Eukaryota; Metazoa; Arthropoda; Insecta; Hymenoptera; Apidae
Also listed under: 1 other name
Description: ame-miR-11-3p
Gene: ame-miR-11-3p
Source: miRBase by way of RNAcentral